UGUGGGAGCUGGCUUGCCUGCGAUGCAGACACCUCGGUACAUCAAGCCGUUUGAGGUGAUGCUAUCGCAGGCAAGCCAGCUCCCACG
Molecule: non-coding RNA, 87 nt
Filed under: Pseudomonas tolaasii NCPPB 2192
Lineage: Bacteria; Pseudomonadati; Pseudomonadota; Gammaproteobacteria; Pseudomonadales; Pseudomonadaceae
Source: RNAcentral